GAUGAACGCUGGCGGCGUGCCUAAUACAUGCAAGUCGAGCGAAUGGAUUAGGAGCUUGCUCUUAUGAAGUUAGCGGCGGACGGGUGAGUAACACGUGGGUAACCUGCCCAUAAGACUGGGAUAACUCCGGGAAACCGGGGCUAAUACCGGAUAACAUUUUGAACCGCAUGGUUCGAAAUUGAAAGGCGGCUUCGGCUGUCAAUUAGGGAUGGACCCGCGUCGCAUUAGCUAGUUGGUGAGGUAACGGCUCACCAAGGCAACGAUGCGUAGCCGACCUGAGAGGGUGAUCGGCCACACUGGGACUGAGACACGGCCCAGACUCCUACGGGAGGCAGCAGUAGGGAAUCUUCCGCAAUGGACGAAAGUCUGACGGAGCAACGCCGCGUGAGUGAUGAAGGCUUUCGGGUCGUAAAACUCUGUUGUUAGGGAAGAACAAGUGCUAGUUGAAUAAGCUGGCACCUUGACGGUACCUAACCAGAAAGCCACGGCUAACUACGUGCCAGCAGCCGCAGUAA
This 515-nucleotide ribosomal RNA is filed under the name uncultured bacterium. RNAcentral describes it as "partial 16S ribosomal RNA". It matches the Rfam family "Bacterial small subunit ribosomal RNA", at positions 28 to 523 of the family's 1533-position model. The record is from RNAcentral.